AUUGAACGCUGGCGGCAGGCCUAACACAUGCAAGUCGAACGGUAACAGGAAGCAGCUUGCUGCUUUGCUGACGAGUGGCGGACGGGUGAGGAAUGUCUGGGAAACUGCCCGAUGGAGGGGGAUAACUACUGGAAACGGUAGCUAAUACCGCAUAACGUCGCAAGACCAAAGAGGGGGACAUUAGGGCCUCUUGCCAUCGGAUGUGCCCAGAUGGGAUGAGCUAGUAGGUGGGGUAACGGCUCACCUAGGCGACGAUCCCUAGCUGGUCUGAGAGGAUGACCAGCCACACUGGAGCUGAGCCACGGUCCAGACUCCUACGGGAGGCAGCAGUCGGCAAUAUUGCACAAUGGGCGCAAGCCUGAUGCAGCCAUGCCGCGUCUAUGAAGACGGCCUUCGGGUUGUAAAGUACUUUCAGCGGGGAGGAAGGGAGUACAGUUAAUACCUUUGCUCAUUGACGUUACCCGCAGAAGAAGCACCGGCUAACUCCGUG
RNAcentral lists this ribosomal RNA (490 nucleotides) under uncultured bacterium. RNAcentral's name for it is "partial 16S ribosomal RNA". It matches the Rfam family "Bacterial small subunit ribosomal RNA", at positions 30 to 507 of the family's 1533-position model. The record is from RNAcentral.